GUUAAUGAUAUUACACAGUGAAUAGUAGUUAAUGACGUUACACAGUGAAUAGUAGUUAAUGAUGUUACACAGUGAAUAGUAGUUAAUGAUGUUACACAGUGAAUAGUAGUUAAUGACGUUACACAGCGAAAAGUAGUUAAUGAUGUUACACAGCGAAUAGUAGUUAAUGACGUUACACAGCAAAUAGUAGUUAAUGAUGUUACACAGCGAACAGUAGUUAAUGACGUUACACGGCGAAUAGUAGUUAAUGACGUUACACAGCGAAUAGUAGUUAAUGAUGUUACACAGUGAAUAGUAGUUAAUGACGUUACACAGUAAAUAGUAGUUAAUGACGUUACACAGCGAAUAGUAGUUAAUGAUGUUACACAGCGAAUAGUAGUUAAUGACGUUACACAGUGAAUAGUAGUUAAUGAUGUUACACAGUGAAUAGUAGUUAAUGACGUUACACAGCGAAUAGU
Molecule: long non-coding RNA, 458 nt
Organism: Gasterosteus aculeatus aculeatus (three-spined stickleback)
Lineage: Eukaryota; Metazoa; Chordata; Actinopteri; Perciformes; Gasterosteidae
Source: Ensembl